RNAcentral lists this unclassified non-coding RNA (254 nucleotides) under uncultured fungus. RNAcentral describes it as "sequence contains ITS1". The record is from RNAcentral. Lineage: Eukaryota; Fungi.
UUUAGCUAUUUUGUGUUGCUCAGACUUCACUGUUUCGAAAGGUUUUGGGUGGGCUUCCGGCAGGCGCUCGGCGGACGAGAUCACCGUAAGGAUGACCACGGCCGGCGGGGGCUCUCCGCACUCCACCUGGGGUGGGGUGACGGUUUCGCCCUCGUCCUGCCAAAGCAACAGAGGUAUGUAUUCACGGGUUGGGAGUUUCGGGCCACGAGGACCCUUGCUCUUUAAUGAUCCCUCCGCAGGUUCACCUACGGAGA